Long non-coding RNA from Tympanuchus pallidicinctus (lesser prairie-chicken), 3579 nucleotides. RefSeq lists it as uncharacterized. Lineage: Eukaryota; Metazoa; Chordata; Aves; Galliformes; Phasianidae. The record is from RefSeq and is a predicted model, not a curated record. The transcript is spliced from 5 exons.
GUUGGAGCCAGGAUCCACCUCUUCCCAGACCUUCUUUGAUUCUAUGAUCUCAUUUAAAGGUUGGUAGAAGAGAUAACUUGCUGGAAGUCCCUGCCCACCUAAGGCCUUCCAAGGGAACUCCAGGCUGAUGCAGAGAAGGGCAGGGGAAAAUUGCCUCCCGGAUGGGGUAUAUGGCAAGAGCAGGGGUUUGACAGCGAAGAAGGAGGUUGAAGGAAGUCAGAAGUGUUUCAGCCUCUUGAAUUUUUCUGGUGCCUGGAAGCCUGCUCACUUCCACCUACCAUCUUUCACCACUGCCCAUAGCCACCUGAGGUUCAUGUAUGUUACAACAUCAGGCAUGAGCUGUGCUCCAGCACACGCUGACAAGAACAGUCUGAGAAGACUGGCUACAGAAGGCAUUACCUGCCAUGUAAAGGAAAACUGUAGUUGCAGCUGCUCCCUCCCCCCGUUUGGAAGUUUUACAUGCUAAGAGUCAUCAGCCAGCCUUGCCUUUAAAUCAAAUCUUUCCAUGCAGCCUGGAUGGAAAUCUAGCAAGUACAGCAGCUGUCUACUCUUAGCAAGGAGAAAAGCAACAUGUUUCUUCAGCCACUGGCUAGGGAAUUCCUGCUCAAAGAAGAGGGCUACGCCUUGUCUGAUGCCUUUAUAAAGUCAUAGGAAACAGUUUCCUGCGGGCUUUCACAGAUAGUGCUAAUCAUCUUAAACUGAAACAGGGCUUCCAAAAACAGCAUGUAAAUCCCCAUAACACACCUUCAAUUUCUGUCUCCAAGGCUACCCAGCUGCCCUGAUCCUCUGUGUUAGGCUCAAAAUGCCAUGAUGCUUCCUUUUGAACUAUUCCUUGCCCGCUUCUCAAGCCCUCUUUUCUCCCAGACCUCCCCACAGCCAGGAGCCCCACUAGCUUGCCUUGCUUGCUGGGGACAAGGAUUCACAGCAUUGCUGCCCCGUGCUGGGUGAUGAGCAGUGGGACAUCUGCGUGGCAGGGGAUACAAGGCUCUCUGCUGUCCUGCAGCUGAGUGAAACUGAUUUCCACAGGGGCACAAGAAGAGCUGCAUGGUCCUGCCCUGCCCAGUUGUGCUCACCCAUCUGCACAAAGGCUGGGUCUAAAGGGCUCUUUAAAACCAUGUUAAUAGCAUUUUUCAUGCUGCUUUUAGUGAACCUCCUCAUUCUGCUCUCAGCCAUGCAGUUCAUGAAUAGCAGCUAUUCCCCGGUCAGGGAAGCACAUUUUGGGGGACACAGUAUACAUAGCCUUGUUGGACAUUUUUCAGUGAUUUUACAUGCAGAUACUGCCUUCUCACAGCAAGCCAAAUUCUGCCCUCUCCUGAAGUCUCUUGGGUCUAAAUUAGUGAGACUUUAUAUAUAUCGUGAUUUGAAUCUGAAUGUGCUUCCUUGCUUGCGAUCCCUGUGGUCACAGAGCAGGCAAGGAGACUUUGUGCUGUAGUUUACCUUGCCAUAAGCAGGCUUUUUCAGUCAUCUUGGUGAGCGCAUUCCCUGCGUUGCCAACGCGGGAGCAUUUUCUGCAGGAUGCAGGAUUUGCAAAGGCACAGAUGUAUGGGGCAGUGUCCCAUCAGCAUGCAGAAUCACCCAGCUAAUGGAUCAUCUCACAUCUUCUCUGAGAAGAUAGCACCUGAGGUCCCUCCCAAAACAUUCCCCAGGACUCGUAGGAGUGCUGGAUGAGGCAUUUGUGCUGCAGACACCCCCAAAGCACUGCAGAGUCAAGAGAAUGAUGCCAGACUAGAAUCAAUGAGGCCUUAUGCGGGCACUCAAGAAUAACAAGCCAACCAGUGGAUUUGCAGGCAGACUGUAACAGCUUGUUAUCUGAUGUCCCCUGGGCACAAACACUGAGACAUCUGCAGUUUUGACCCGUUUUUUCCCUCUGCUGGCUCAAUAGCUAGCUAGCCAGUCAUCCAAAGUGGAAACAAAACAGAGGGAAGAAGAGAACGCAUGCCAGUAAGCAGGAGAAGCUGGAAAUAUUGGGGCGCCAAAAGGACUGGAAAUAAAAUAAGAACACUGGUUUCUUUGCUCUCCUUUAUUAUUUGUGCAUCAAGCUCUCUGAGUUUGUUUCUGGAACUCUGUUGAAAGCUUGCUAGUUGUCACUGAACUUUUAUGUUGGUUUAUUUUGCAUGUAUUUUGCAUCUCCAAUCUCUUUGUUCAGCACUGCAAGAUAAAAAUGAACCUGAACAACACACAUGGGGACUUCAUCAAUUGUCUCUGGUCCUUAUAAUCUCUUUCCCUUCUAUCAGAGGCCAGGAGGAGCCCCAGAGCAGGCUGCCGGGUCCUUGGAAAAGAGAUCCUUGGAGCACAGCAGCCAUGCCAGCUAACACUGUGCUUCCCUGUUUUCAGGCUGUUGUUACUAAAGAGUGUGCCCAGAUAGUCUGAAGGGGUCAUGAACACCAGCCUCAGCCUAAUCUUCUAAUUAACUCCUGUUAAUGUAAGUGCACUCGAGAAGAUUCUUUCAGCCACGCUGCUCAAGAAAUUAGAAGUCCUCUCUCAAAGAAACAGUGUGUUUCUUCUUUCGUAGUCCAGCAUGAUAACACCAUCUUCCUGCAUGAGAAGGAUUUGCCUCAUCCUAUGGUGCUCAUUUCUCAUCCCUGGAUUACAGUUUAUUUUAAAUCAACUCAGGAUAAUAGGUGGCAGCUCAGUGUAUACUAUCUGCAGCAUGUUUUAGCCUUGCAAAGGCAGAGGCCUCCUGGUUUCUCGGUUCUCUAAUUUCUGCACCUUGGAAAAGCCUAAAGAUUGGGGUGUGUGCCUUGCAAUGAUAGGUAAUGCUCUGGGACCUAUCAGAGAAACAUGCUGCUGCUGCUGCUGCUGCUGGUGCUGCUUCUCUUUUAACCUGAUGCAGCCUCAUCGCAUGGAUGCUCCGCUCAUUGCAGUCAAGGUUAGAAAGGGAUUUGAGCCUCUUACUGAUGUGGAAAGAAAGCAGUCCCAUAGGUAGAAACACGAAGAAUAGCUGAGCUCAGACUGACCUCAGGAAAAAAACAAAGCAAGUUUUCACAAUGGAGUGUAGCUGGACUGCACUGAGAGAAUGAAUGUGGGGCAGGAUGAGAAUUGUACCUGCCUGUGUUAUAAGCAGAGACUCUGCAGCUCUCCUGACGUCAAUUUUGCCUAGGAGAAUCCAUCUGAAAAUAAACAAAUACCAACAGAAAUGCUUCUAUUGUUUUCUUUCUCUGUUGGUAAUAAAAACUAUUCCUUUAAAAAAGAGCAAUAUCCUCCCCUAUGAUUUUUGCAGUCACAACACAGAAAUGGAGAAAACCUGAAAGCACAAUUGACUCCUUUUGAUUUUUCCUAUUUCAAGAGAGAAGACAUGCCAGCGGGAAAGAGAACAAAAAUCACACUGAGUAAAUCUGGAAUUUAAACUGCCACCAGUGAUCAACAGCAACCAUCCAAAUAUUUAUUUCUUCUUCUACGGUUUCUUUCUGCUUAAGCUGAUCAGCAGAUCUUUAAUUUGAUAUUCAGUCAUCAUUACAUAAAAACAUGUAUCUUUUAGGUCGUUUCUUUAAUUAUUCACUUCUGCAGGAAUUCAGAUGGCAAGAUUCAGGGGAUAAUUUAGUCACGUACCGCCUUAGUAUGCAGCUUCUCUUCAAUAAU